GAAGCGGCGGUGUGAACCAGCCGUGGACGCCACACGAGUGAGAAUGCAGGCAUGAGUAGCGAAUCACGGGUGAGAAACCCGUGCGCCGGAUGAUCAAGGGUUCCAGGGUCAAGUUAAUCUGCCCUGGGUGAGUCGGGGCCUAAGGCGAGGCCGACAGGCGUAGUCGAUGGACGACCAGUUGAUAUUCUGGUACCGGUGUAGCACCGUCCGUGUCGAGGUGUGUGAUGCUAAGCGUGCGAGUGUCCUGGUGAUCCCUUCGGGGUGAUCUUGUGGCGUGAGUGUGUGAACCGAUCAUGUAGUAGACAAGCUGCGGAGGGACACAGUGAGGUAGCUCGUCCCCGGCGAUGGUUGUCCGGGGCUAAAUGUGUGGACUGUCUGGUAGGUAAAUCCGUCAGACGUUGAGUUGAGGCAUGAUGGCGAGCCAUGUUUGUGUGGUGAGCGAGUGAUCCUGUGCUGUCGAGAAAAGCUUCGUGAGCGAGGUGUGAGCCGCCCGUACCCUAAACCGACACUGGUGGAUAGGUAGAGUAUACCGAGGCGAUCGAGUGAAUCGUGGUGAAGGAACUCGGCAAAAUGCCCCCGUAACUUUGGGAUAAGGGGGACCUGAGCUGUCGUGCACCCGUGCGGUGUGGUGGCGGUGAGGGGCGCAGAGUCCAGGGGGAAACGACUGUUUACCAAAAACACAGGUCCGUGCGAAGUCGUAAGACGAUGUAUACGGACUGACUCCUGCCCGGUGCUGGAAGGUUAAGGGGAACUGUGA
Molecule: ribosomal RNA, 757 nt
Filed under: Chaetoceros curvisetus
Lineage: Eukaryota; Bacillariophyta; Thalassiosirophyceae; Chaetocerotales; Chaetocerotaceae
Description: partial Bacterial large subunit ribosomal RNA
Rfam family: Bacterial large subunit ribosomal RNA
Source: RNAcentral